Molecule: small RNA, 5764 nt
Filed under: Pongo abelii (Sumatran orangutan)
Lineage: Eukaryota; Metazoa; Chordata; Mammalia; Primates; Hominidae
Description: sense overlapping
Source: RNAcentral
AAAAUGUUUAAAUUCACUUGAAACUAGGCAUAUGCAAAUUAAAACCACUCAGAUACCAUUUAUCACUUUCCAGACUCCAUGAAAUGUAAGAAUAUGGCAAUGCAUUCUGUUGGGAUGGCUGUGGGAAAAUAGGUACAUUCAUACAUUGCUGAUGGGAAUGCAAAAGUUUAUUAGUUGCAAUAUUGUUCUUAGUUGCAAAGUAUUGGAAGCAACCUAAAUUCCCAUCCACAGGAGAGUGAUUUAAUAAACUAUAGCAUGUCAUGCAGUGGAAUAUUAAAUAGGUAUAAGAAAAGAAUGAGGAAGAGCUCUAUGAACUAAUGGAGUGAUUUCCAAGAUGGACUGUCAAAUGAAAAAAGCAAAGCACAAAAGAGUAUCCACAGCAUGCUACCUUCAUGUAGGAAAGAAAGGAUAUAAGAAAGUAAAUAGUUGUCUGCUCAUUUUUCAAAAGAAAUACAGGAAAGAUAAAAUACUAGUAAGGCUGAUUACCUAGAGGGAAAGGAAUAAAGAAGGAAAUGAGGUUAGCAAGGAUGAAGUACAGUAACAUUUCUUUGAUUAUAUCUUUCUGAAUAGCUCUGACUCUUGGAAUCAUAAUUAUGUCUCACAUACCCUUCACAUAAUCCCAAAUAAAUAAAUGAUAAAACCAACCAAGAUAAAAUGGAAUACAAAUACUAACAAAUGGAAGUAAAUGUAUUAAGAAUGAAUAACAACCACACUUAAGCAAGUGAGGAAGAAAAUAACUAGGUAACUGUAAGUAUCUUUUCUGGGCACUAAAAUGCUAACGACAAAAAGAAUGGUUUAAAGUGCUGUAAUCUAGUUAGUAAAAGGGUUUCUUGCAGGGGUAUGAAUUAGUGCUACUGAAGCUACCUUUACAUGUACAUUAGAAUUGAACAACUAAGUACAUAUAUUGUAGAUAAUAAGAGCCAGGUUUCUCACUGUUGGAGAAAGACUUAUUAAAAGAAAGGAGGCAGGCCAAAAUACACCCUGUAAUGUUGGAUUGGAGUAAGAGGUGUCAGUAUAAAUUAAUGGUUUUUAAUAUAAAUGUAGACAGAUUAAGAAAUAUACAUGUGACUAUAUCUGUGGCAUAGUAUAUACAUUUAUACAUUUCCUAACUCUUAAAGGGCCUAGAAGCAGUGAAACUUCAGAGUAAUGAGCACAUUUAACACCAGAUCUUGUUUUUUAUCUUCUAUUUCUACUUUAAAUUUUUUUAUUUUUAAUUUUUGUGAGUACAUAGUAGGUGUAUAUAUUCAUGGAAUACAUGAGAUAUUUUAAUAUAGGCAUGUAAUGAGAAAUAAUCACAUCAUGGAGGAUAGAUUACCCACCUUUUCAAACAUUUAUCCUUUGUGUUACAAGAAAUCCAGUUACACUCUUCUAGUUAUUUUAAAAUGUACAAUCAAGUUAUUGUUGACUAGAGUCACCCUAUUGUGCUAUCAAAUAGUAGGUCUUAUUCAUUCUUUCUAUUUUUAUGUAUCCAUUAACAAUCCCCACCUCCCCCUCCAGUGCCCAACUACCCUUCCCAGCCUCUGGUAACUAUCCUACUCUCUAUCUCCAUGAGUUCAAUUGUUUUGAUUUUUAGAUCUCAUAAAUAAGUGAGAACAUACAAUGUUUGUCUUUCUAUGUCUGGCUUAUUUCACUUAACAUAAUAACCUCCAGUUCCAUCCAUGUUGUUGCAAAUGACAGGGUGUCAUUCUUUUAAUUACUGAAUAGUACUCCAUUGUGUAAAUACACUACGUUUUAUUUAUCCAUUCAUUUGUUGAUAGACACUUAGGUUGCUUCCAAAUCUUGCCUAUUGUGAACAUUGUGGCAACAAACAUGGAAGUUCAGAUAUCUCUUCAAUAUACUGAUUUCUUUUUUUGGAGGGUACAUACACAGCAGUGGGAUUUCUGGAUAUAUGGCAGCUCUAUUUUUAUUUUUUUCAGGAACCUCCAAACUGUUCUCAAUAAUGGUUGUACUAAUGUACAUUCUCACCAAAAAUGUAGGAGAGUUCCCUUUCUCUACAUCCUAGCCAGCAUUUGUUAUUGCCUGUCUUUUGGAUAAAAACCAUUUUAACUGGGGAGAAAUGAUAUUUCAUUGUAGUUUUGACUUACAUUCUCUGAUGAUCAGUGAUGUUGAACACAUUUUCAAAUGCCUGACUGCUAUUUGUACGUCUUCUUUUGAGAAAUGUGUAUUCAAAUCUUUUGCUCAUUUUUUGAUCAGAUUUUUUUUUUUCAUGUUGAGGUUUUAGAGCUCCUUAUGUAUUCUGGUUUUUAAUCGCUUGUCAGAUGGGUAGUUUGCAAAUAUUUUGUCCCAUUCUGGAGGUUGUCUCUUCACUUUGUUGAUUGUUUCCUUUGCUGUGCAGAAGCUUCUUAACUUGAUGUGAUCCCAUUUGUCCGUUUUUGCUUUGGUUGUCUGUGUUUGUGGGGUACUACUCAAGAAAUUUUUGCUCAGACAAAUGUCCUGGAGAUUUUCAUCAAUGUUUUCUUAUAGUAGUUUCAUAGUUUGAGGUCUUAGAUUUAAUCCUUUGGUCUACUUUGUAUAUGACUUUUGUAUAUGGCAAGAAAUAGGAGUCUAGUUUCAUUCUUGUGCAUGUGGAUAUCCAGUUUCCCAGAACUAUUUACUGAAGAGACUGUCUUUUCCCCAGUAUAUUUUCUUGGCACCUUUGUCAAAACUGAGUUCACUGUAAAUGUGUGGAUUCGUUUCCAGGUUCUCUGUUCUGUUCUAUGGGUCUAUGUGUCUGGUUUUAUGCCAAUGCCAUGCUGUUUUGUUUAUUAUAGCCCUGUGGUAUAAUUUAAAGUCAGGUAAUAUGAUUCCUCCAAUUUUGUUCUUAUUAUAGCCCUGUGGUAUAAUUUAAAGUCAGGUAAUAUGAUUCCUCCAAUUUUGUUCUUUUUGCUUAAGAUAGCUUUGGCUCUUCUUGGUCUUUUGUGGUUCCAUAUAAGUUUUUGGAUAGUUUUUUUUGUCUAUUUCUGUGAUGAAUGUCAUCAGUACUUUGAUAGGGAUUGCAUUGGAUCUAUAGAUUGCUUUAGGUAGUUUGGACAUUUUUAACAAUAUUGAUUCUUUUGCUCCAUGAACGUGGAAUUUUUAUUUUGGUGUUCUCUUCAAUUUCUUUCAUCAGUGUUUUAUAGUUUUUAUUAUAGAGAUCUUUCACUUCUUUGAUUAAUUCCUAGAUAUUUAAUUUUAUUUGUAGCAAUUGUAAAUGGGAUUACUUUUUUCAUUUCUUUUUCAGAUUGUUCACUGUUUGCAUAUAAAAAUGCUACUGAUGUUGAUUUUUGUAUGUUGUUUUUGUAUCCUGGAACUUUACUGAUUUUUAAAAUUAGUUCUAAUGGUUUUUUGGUGGAGUCUUUAAGCUUUUUGACUAUAAGAUCAUAUCAUCUGCAAACAAAAAUAAUUUGACUUCUUCCUGUCCAAUCUGGAUGCCCUUUAUUUCUUUCUCUUUUCUGACUGCUCUAGCUAGAAAUUCCAGUACUAUGCUGAAUAACAGUGGUGAAAGUGGGCAUCCUUAUUGUGUUCCAGAUCUUAGAGGAAAGGCUUUCAGUUAUUCCCCAUUCAGUAUGAUACUAGCUAUGGGACCAUCAUAUAUGGCUUUUUUAAAUGUUGAAGUGUGUUCCUUCUAUCCCAAGUUCUUUGAGGGUUUUUGUCAUGAAAGGAUGUUGAAUUUUAUCGAAUAAUUUUUCAGUAUCAAUUGAAAUGAUCAUAUCAUUUUUAUCUUUCAUUCUGUUGAUAUGAUGUGUCAUGUUAAUCGAUUUGUGUAUGUUGUACCAUCCUUGCAUCCCAGGGAUAAAUCCCACUUAGUCAUGAUGAAUUAUCUUUCUAAUAUAUGUUGGAUUUGGCUUGUUAGUAUUUUGUUGAGUAUUUUUGCAUCAAUAUUCAUCAGAGAUAUUGGCCUGUAGUUUUCAUUUUUCAUGUGUCUUUGUCUGGUUUUGGUAUCAGGGAAACACUGGCCUCAUAGAAUGAGUUUGGAAGUAUUCCUUCCUCCUCAUUUUUUCAGAAUAGUUUGAGUGAGAUUGGAAUUAGUUCUUCUCUCGAUGCUUGAUAGACUUGAGUAGUGAAGCCAUUGGGUCUUGGGCUUUUCUUUACCAGAAGACUUUUUAUUAUGACUUUGAUCUUAUUAUUUUUAUUGGUCUUUUCAGGUUUUGGAUUUCUUCAUAGUUCAAUCUUGGAACAUUAUAUGUGUCUAGGGAUUUGUUCAUGUUCUCAGGUUUUCUAAUUUAUUGGCAUAUAGUUGCUCAUAGUAGCCUCUAAUGAUCCUUUGAAUUUCUGCAGUAUCAGUUGUAAUGCUCCUUUUUCAUUUCUGAUUUUAUUAAUUUGUGUCUCCUUUUUUCUUCUUAGUCUGGCUAAAGGUUUGUAAAUUAUGUUUAACUUUUCAAAAAACCAUUUUGUUUCAUUGAUCUUUUGUAUUUUCUCUAUUUCAAUUUCAUUUAUUUCUGCUCUUUAUUAUUUCUUUUCUUCUACUAAUUUUGGAUGAGGUUUGCUCUUGCUUUUCUAGUUCUUUAAGAUGCAUUGUUAGAUUGUUUAUUUGAAGUUUUCCCCUUUUUGAUGUAGGCACUUAUAGCUAUAAACUUCACUCUUAGUACUGCCUUUGUUGUAUCCUAUAAGUUUUGGUAUGUUGUGUUUCCAUUGUCACUUGUUUCAAGAAAUUUUUCAAUUUCCUUUUUAAUUUCUUCAUCAACCCACUGGUCAUUCAGGAGCAUAUUGUUUAAUUUCCAUGUAUUUGUAUAGUUUUCAAGGUUCUUCUUGUUAUUAAUUUCUAGUUUUAUUCCAUUGUGAUCAGAGAAGAUGCUUGAUAUUAUUUCAAUUUUUUUUGAAUGUUUUAAGACUUGUUUUGUUACCUAAAAUAGUGUAUAUCCUUGAGAUUUAUUCAUGUAUUGAGGAGAAGCAUGUGUAUUCUGCAGCCGAGGGAUGAAAUGUUCUAUAAUUAUCUGUAAGUCCAUUUGGUCAAUAGUGCAGAUUAGGUCUGAUGUUUCUUGGUUGAUUUUCUGUCUGAAAGAUAUGUCCGAUGCUGAAUAUUGGGUGUUACAGUCUCCAGCUAUUAUUGUAUUAGGGUCUAUCCCUCACCUUAGCUCUAAUAAUAUUUGGUUUAUAUAUCUGGGUGCUCCAGGCAUGCAUAUUUAAAAUUGUUAUAUCCUCUUGCUGAAUUGACCUCUUUAUCAUUAUAGAAUGACCUUCCUUGUCUCUUCUGAUAGUUUUUGUCUUGUAAUAUAUUUUGUAUGAUAUAAGUGUAGCUGCUCAUGCUCUUUUUGGGUUUCCAUUGGAAUGGAAUAUCUUUUUCCAUCCCUUUAUUUGUAGUCUAUGUGUGUCUUUAUAGUUGAAUUGUGUUUCUUGUAGGCAACAGAUUAAUGAAUCUUGUUUUUUCAUCCACUCAGCCAUUCUCUUGCUUUUAAUUGGAGAGUUUAGUCCAUUUACAUUCAAUGUUAUUAUUGAUAAGUAAGAGCUUACUCUGGCCAUUUUGUUAUUUGUUUUCUGGUCUUCUCCUCCUUCUUUCUUUCCUCCUGUCUUCCUUUAGUGAAGGUAGUUUUUUCUGGUGAUAUGAUUCAGUUUCUUGCUUUUUAUUUUUUGUGUAUUCAUUGUAUGUUUUUUGUUUGAGAUCACCGUGAAGCUUGCAAAUACCAUCUUUUAAACCAUUAUUUCAAUCCGAUAACUACUUAACACUGUGUGUAUAAACAAACAAAGAAGCAAAAACAAAGCUAAUAAAAAGUAUAUGCCUUAACUCCAUCCUUCAACUUUUUAACUUUUUCUUCUUUCUAUGUAUAUCUUAUUGUACUAUGUCAUGAAAAGUUAUUGUUAUUUGUGA